GAUAUGUUGUGCAUCGUCGGUGUCGCCCUCGCAGGCGGCUGAAAAGGGAAGCCGGUCCAGACCCCGUGUCGACUCCGGCGCUGCCCCGCAGCGGUAGUGGAAACGAACCUCGCCAUUGCACUGGGGCCCAAGCCCCGGGAAGCGGCGAGCAGUAGGAGGACGGCCCGCCGUCCGCGUCCAGAGCCCGAAGACCUGCCGACAGCCGCGCGAAGCAC
Molecule: non-coding RNA, 215 nt
Filed under: Novilysobacter luteus
Lineage: Bacteria; Pseudomonadati; Pseudomonadota; Gammaproteobacteria; Lysobacterales; Lysobacteraceae
Source: RNAcentral